This 1970-nucleotide unclassified non-coding RNA is filed under the name Orussus abietinus. RNAcentral describes it as "protein NDRG3, transcript variant X6". The record is from RNAcentral. Lineage: Eukaryota; Metazoa; Arthropoda; Insecta; Hymenoptera; Orussidae.
GGGCGGCGGGAAGAGCCUCGAAAUCGGGCCAGCUGCCUCCAGAUGUCCUCGCAGGCGGUCCGGCCGUAACUGGUUCUUUCCGGCGCGGUCUGCGCAGGACCGUGCGCACUCGGCUCCCAUUGACCAGCGAGGCCUCCCGACCAAUAGUAACCUAAGGCGCCUGCGACUCGGUCGUCGCAGCGACAGCACACUCCAAGGGUGUCCGACACGGUGUUAACCUAGAGGCGCUACCGCGAGCGAACGCCCCAGCACCCAGCUACCAGCUAUCAGCUGUGAUACUCCCCUUCGGCGGCUCGGCCCUCGCCAACUGGACCAAGCGAGCAUCGGCGUACGAGCUUUCGGCACUGGCACGCGAUUUGCGCACCGAGGGCGUCCUUACGCGAGACCACCCCCCAGAGGACGAGGAGGUCCAGGUCGAGGAAGAAGACUCGGGACCAGGCGCAGGGGCCUCCAGGGUGCAGGAAUAGGGCGCGGCCCCGCCAUGCCGUCAGGUAUCGGGGCUUCGUACAGGUCGCUCGGCGACCUGGGCGAAGACGUCUACAAAAGCACGACCAUCGUCGACCAGACCCAGACCACGGGGCAGAGCGUCCUGGAGAGCGUGAAGAAGGCCUUCAGCUUCGCCGCCCCGAAGGUGGAGCUCCGGAAGAAGGACCCUCUGAUCGAUGACCGAAGAGAGAGCGUCUCGAUCGUCUCAAGGGACAGAAACAAGAUGCCGACCGCUGCCACCGCCGAGGAGUCAGCUCUGUUGGGCACGAUGCCUUCGGACAGCAUGGACGACAUCGAGCUGAAGAACAUCCAGCUGCAGUUCCCGGCUCUGCGAUAUCUGACGAGAGAUGACGGAUCCGUUCGGGAGGAGAGGGUCGAGACCGACAAGGGAAGCCUGCUGGUCGCUCGGCAAGGAAAUCGCGCAAGACCUGCCAUUCUCACCUAUCACGACUUAGGCCUUAACUAUGUAUCGAGUUUCCAAGCGUUCUUCAAUUACAUCGACAUGCGCGUCCUCCUGGAGAACUUUUGCGUGUACCACGUGAACGCGCCCGGUCAAGAGGAGAACGCGCCGACGUUACCGGAAGAUUACGUGUAUCCGUCCAUGGACGAGCUCUCGGAGCAGCUGCUCUUCGUCCUGGGUCAUUUUGGGUUGACGUCGGUAAUCGGGUUCGGGGUCGGCGCCGGGGCCAACAUCCUCGCGAGAUUCGCCCUGGCCCAUCCCGAGAAGGUGAACGCCCUGUGCCUGAUUAACUGCGUCUCGACGCAAGCUGGAUGGAUCGAGUGGGGAUACCAGAAGCUGAACGUUCGCCAUCUUCGGUCCCAGGGGAUGACGCAGGGGGUGCUGGACUACCUCAUGUGGCACCACUUCGGCAGGGGUACCGAGGAGAGGAACCACGACCUGGUCCAGGUGUACAAGAACUACUUCGAGCGUCGGGUGAACCCGACGAACUUGGCUCUCUUCAUCGACAGCUACGUCCGGCGAACCGACCUCAACAUCACGAGAGAGCUGGACCCAACGCGCAAGAGGGAAGGGUUAACGUUAGGGGUACCCGUGAUGAACAUCACCGGGGCCUUGAGUCCCCACGUCGAGGACACUGUCACGUUAAACGGGAGACUGGACCCCACCAACAGCUCCUGGAUGAAGAUCUCCGAUUGCGGCAUGGUGCUGGAAGAGCAGCCGGGAAAAGUGAGCGAGGCCUUCCGACUGUUCCUCCAGGGUGAAGGAUAUGUGGUGAGAUCCACGCGGAAGCCCGUCACGCCAACAACACCCGAAGGUAAUUGUAAUUAGGAAUUGAAGCCUCAGGGAGUCGAGCGCGCUGUCGGUCGAUUAGGCCCCGUCUAAGUGUUCAUGGCACCCCUCUCGCCGUUGAAGAUGGCGGACUACAGGUUGGCGUCCCUGGAGGGCCUGAACCACAUCUGCGCCAAGAGAAUCGACUGGCCCGGAGCCACCAUACACAUCACCGAGAAUCCCAUAUCAGAGGCCG